CCAUAUUGGGGCGGUCGGCGCUUGAAUCACUUAUAGCAGAUUGCUUGGAAGUAUGCCGCAGCCAUGUGCAGCACUUGGGUGCACAAACAGAUAAAACUGUGAAAACAGGCAUCGCGGGACUACUUUUCUGCAGUUCCCCAAAGAUCCUGAAUUAAGGAAAGCUUGGGCCAUAGCUGUCCGACGGAAAGAUUUUGUUGUUCUCUGUAGCUGUCAUUCUAAGGCAGAUGAUCUUGACUGGCCAAAUUGUGCCUCUGAAGGAAAGUGUGAUCCCUUGUCUUCCGUCUGAACAACAUUAGCGUGUAAGAUAGUUAUAAGGUGAGUGUUUUUUUGUGGUAAACAGUGUUAAUAUAUAGUGUAAUCUAAUUGGAAUUACGAGAAUACAGAUGAUCUCAUACUAACAUAACUGAAAUUACCAUUAAACCUGAUAUUGAAAGUGAAUGUCCCUUUUGAUUGUUCUAAUAUUGAUUUUUAUUUUUUUUUGGUUACCAUUGUUUUUUGUUUGCUUGUUGUGAGCAGGGUAUGUUUUAUUCUUUAUCUCUAUAUAGUUAUUGUCACUUUAUUUCAUUAAAAUAUUUUAACAUAACUGCCCUGUUUCAUAAAGUAAUAAGGUAAGUAGAUUAUCAAAUAGGAAGACAAUAAGUGCCACUCCUUAUCACUGAAAACAUUGUGUGGAAAUUUGAUUUGUCAAAUAAAGUUUUAUUGUUUCUGGUAUAAUUUUGUUAAAAUUAUAAGUAAACAUUACAUAUGCAGUAAACUGCAUCUAUUGGUUGUUAGAUGUAACAAACCUGAAUUCAGCAUCACUGUGGUUUUUAUUGAGAGCAGAUGUAAUUUCUAGAUUAUAUGUAGUAUUGUAAUGCUAUAUUACAGAGCUGUACUAUUAUGUGUCCAUGUCUAAAAUGAAGAUUACAAUAAAAUAUUUCUGACGUGUAA
Long non-coding RNA from Paramormyrops kingsleyae, 930 nucleotides. RefSeq lists it as uncharacterized. Lineage: Eukaryota; Metazoa; Chordata; Actinopteri; Osteoglossiformes; Mormyridae. The record is from RefSeq and is a predicted model, not a curated record.